Mytilus trossulus (common blue mussel) is the source of this 417-nucleotide long non-coding RNA. RefSeq lists it as uncharacterized. The record is from RefSeq and is a predicted model, not a curated record. The transcript is spliced from 4 exons. Lineage: Eukaryota; Metazoa; Mollusca; Bivalvia; Mytilida; Mytilidae.
UUAGGUAAUUUAUAAAACAGUGCCAAUGUUUUCAUGAAGGGGAGUAAGACUUGUGGUAUAAUUUAUCUUAAAUACAAUAGCAGGCCAGUCCCAAGUUUCAGUCCAGAUAGCAGAUGAGUAGCAACUCCAUGGAAGAUGUUUACUUAGAUCUUCAACCAAGUCCGAGGCUUUGCCAUGUAAGCAAUCAAGCACCAAGGAUAGCAGCUGGAAUGAAGAUUAAUUAUUACAUUGAUCUUCAAACAAGUCUGAGGCUUUGUCAUGAAAGAAAUAAUGCAAGUUAUAAAACAGUGCCAAUGUUUUCAUGAAGGGGAGUAAGACUUGUGGUAUAAGAUAUCUUAAAUACAAGUUAGCAUUACAGCUUGUACUUACAGAUUGAUGUUGGAAAUGGCUAUUAAAGUUGACUUUUAAAAGUAAGAA